CUUUUAUCAUAACUAAGGAAAACUAUGAUUAUAGCUAUCUGUCUCCAACUCCAUCAAAGACCACAGAAGGAUAACAUAUAAACACUAGGAUUGACAGAAACCAGUUAAGAGGUAAAUGGGUGGGGUCCGUGCAUCUGUGGACAGUGUGAGGCUGGUAGCGGCCCCCUGCGCACCGGGUCUGGGUCUUCCCAGAGUCGAGUUGCUUGGGAAUGUAGCCCAAAGAGGUUGGUAAACUCCAUCUAAGGCUAAAUACUGGCAAGAGACCGACAGUGAACAAGUACCAUAAAGGAAAGUUGAAAAGAACUUUGAAGAGAGAAUUCAAAAGGGCGGUUUACUGCACUGCUAACCACACUCACUUUGGGCGUGACUAGAGACACAU
Molecule: non-coding RNA, 379 nt
Filed under: Mesocricetus auratus (golden hamster)
Lineage: Eukaryota; Metazoa; Chordata; Mammalia; Rodentia; Cricetidae
Description: Eukaryotic large subunit ribosomal RNA
Rfam family: Eukaryotic large subunit ribosomal RNA
Source: Rfam by way of RNAcentral